UUGAAAUCAAAUUUGAUCUCUUGGUGAUUAAUUCAUCGUGGUUGUGUGUGUUGGAGAUGAUGGAUGGAUAUUCUCUUAUAGACUAAAAUUUGUCAAAAUAUUUUCAAUUGUGAGAUUGCCUAUUUUAGGGGGUUUUGAAAUUUUAAAAAAAAAAGGAGAAAAAGAAACUCCUAUGUUUAAAAGAUGUGGAAAGAGUUACAUCCUUAAAGGAGUGUGAAAACUACCACCACAUGUAGGAAAGAGCUACCACCCCGGUCGUCCGGCAAGUGUGUGAAGCUACCACAUGAAAAUUGAAUUGAUUAAACCGAAAAAAAAUUGAAAAGAAACAAUUGAAUAUUUUAGAAUAUUUCGGAGUAAUAAGGUGUUAGUUUGAAUAAGAUGCUCAAAGAGCCACCCCCGGUAUCAUAUUGGUUAGAUCUCUAUUUUGAACAUAUUGCGAUAAAUUGGUGUCAAUUUUAUUGAAUUUCUAUAAAUUAUUUUUUUCAUCAACUUACAUCUUGAUGGUUUUGAAUUAUCAAAUCAUUUUUUAUAAUGAAAUUUUGAUGUUUUGAUGGAUUUUGAAAUUUUAUAAUAUAUUAUUUUCAUUCUAAUGAUUUUUGGAGUAAAAUCUUUAAUUUAUAUGAAAUUAAUUUAAUUUGAUGGAUUUUUAAAAUCAUAUUUUCGAAAUCUGGCAAAGUGUACCGGUACAAAAUCCCGUGUACCGGUACAAGUCACUGUAGCCGCGGAAAUAUAACCGGUUACAGAGAUUUCUUUCUCACUCUAAUCCAAACCAAAUUUCGAUCUUUCUCUCUCUAAAAUUCCCUGGUG
This 807-nucleotide long non-coding RNA is filed under the name Ananas comosus (pineapple). RNAcentral describes it as "long non-coding RNA (ACOM_LNC036364)". The record is from RNAcentral. Lineage: Eukaryota; Viridiplantae; Streptophyta; Magnoliopsida; Poales; Bromeliaceae.